Molecule: long non-coding RNA, 1995 nt
Organism: Choloepus didactylus (southern two-toed sloth)
Lineage: Eukaryota; Metazoa; Chordata; Mammalia; Pilosa; Megalonychidae
Exons: 3
Source: RefSeq, a predicted model, not a curated record
UAGGUUUGGAUGGUGAAUGGCUUCGUGGUAGACCAGCAUGACUGAGCACGAAAUAAUCUUCACCUCAAGUACCCUGCCCCAAAAUCCAAAUCGGGAAGGAUGCAGGCACUUUGAGACAGUCGCAGAAAAACAGACACUAGUCUGCAUCAUAAAGAUGGCACAGAUAAAGGCGUGAACUGAAAACAUUCACGGAAGUACCGAGUUUACCGUCCUGUCCAGUAUAGAGAAAGAGGAUGCAGAGCCCCAGAGAUACACCCAAAACAGGCUGGCAAGACUGGGCUGACCUCAAGAGCCUGGUUAUCGUCCUCGGAAGCAGGUGGGUGUCUUCCAUGUGCCAGAGCCACUGUCUCCUUCCUCAAUAACAGAAACCUUAUCACAUUUGAGGUGACAAACCCAGCUAAAGAACCAGCCAAAAGUCCAGACUCCUUUGCAAUUAGAAGUAGGGGUGGCCAAUGAGGCGUAAAGGAACGUUGUUGAGUGGGGCUUCCAGAAAAGCUUUUUAAAGGGGGCUGAUACAGCCGAAAGGUGCACGCUUUGGCCUUCUCACCUUCUGCCAUCUUCCUUCCUGGAAAGCAGGUGUGAUGGCCGGAGCUCCAGAAACCACAUUGGGUCCCUGAAGCGACCUUGUGGACAGGGGCAGAGCAUUUGGAGCUGCCUCACCCACCUGUGGCUGCCUACCCCGUGUCUUCAAGUUAUGUGACAGAAAACAAACCCCUAAUUUAUCAAACGCACUGUUAUUUUGGGCUUCUCUUACUAGCAACCAAACAUAAGUUCUAAAUGACAAUAUCAGCCUAGUAUUCGCACAGAGUCAGGCUGUAGGAACACGAAGAGGGAUUGACAGAAUGAUGAACAAAACCCUGGGAGCAUGAGAUCAGGCCAAAGUGCAUGAAAGAAAAGCAUGUAAGCCCUUCCUUACAAAAGAAAACCACUAGAGACCAACGGAGAGCCCACGUGGUGAGACCCCAGCCAUCCCAAAGGAGGCCCUCAUAGAGAAGCCAGCCCCGGCUGACCCGCCAGCGAGCCCGGCCGAGAUCACCAAACCCAAACUGGAUGAGCCAGCCACCUGAGCCCACCUGCAAAUCAACCUGCAAAACCAGGCGCUAAAUGCACAGCUGCUGUUUAAAGCUAGUGAGACUGGGGGCCACUUGUGAGGCAGCAAAAGCAAACUGUCGCCUUCCAAACAGGCAGUCACCUUCCAAGAGGCCCUUGAGCCUGUUGGUUGCGAAAGACAUGCGAGUACAACAAGGUGCGGUGGGCACAAAAGUGGUGGUUUCGAUGCAGCAUCCUGCGGCAGGGACCACUGGCUGUCCUCCAGGGUGCAGUCUCUCCUCCUUUCUCAUCGCAGUGCACCCCCGAUUUUACAUUUGCCGUCAUUUCCCAGCCUCCCUGGUGAGCAGACAUGACAAUGAGAUCCGCUUCUGCCAGCAGGAUCUGCAUGAAAGUGACCCUUUGACCGCUUUUUCCACUUCCUGUUGUCUGAAAAAGCCCGGUGGGAGCCACCUUAAUCCAUGGACAAAAGCAACACUCCAGGGAUGGCGGAUUCGCGGCAGGAGGCCUGGCUCUGAGCCCUGUGCCACAUGGAGCCUUUGGUGGUCACCCCUCACCGCGCCCAGCCCCCCUCCCAGCCCCGGCAACCACUAAGGUGCUCUCCGUCCCGGAGGAGCUGCCUGUUCUGGGUUGUCCAUAUAAAUGGGCUCGUUACAGUAUUUGUCCUUUUGUGUCUGGCUUUUUUCACUCUACACAGUGGCUUCAAGGUUCUUUCCGCCCUGUUGUCAGGCACAUCAGAACGUCAUUCCUUUUUCUGGAUGUGCCACGUUUUGUUUAUCCACUCACCCACUGAGGGUUGGUUCCACUUUGGGCUGCUAAGAACAUGCAUGUACGAGUUGCGUGUGGUUUUGCUGUCAUUUCCCUUGAGCAUGUACCCAGGUGUGGAACUGCUGGGUCAGAUGGUGACUCCAGCUUUGACUUUUUGAGGAACAGCCAGGCUGUUUUCCA